Molecule: long non-coding RNA, 2094 nt
Organism: Acanthochromis polyacanthus (spiny chromis)
Lineage: Eukaryota; Metazoa; Chordata; Actinopteri; Pomacentridae
Exons: 2
Source: RefSeq, a predicted model, not a curated record
ACCGCCCCCUACACACUAUCCCUACACUACCCCUCCGUUUGUGCGUUCCCACGGAGGGUCCUCCAUAUUAAGGGCCGUCCCAAACCGCGUAGUGUGGAGGGGGAGUGGACUGUUCAGCCCUUAAAUAGCGAGUCUGCAUCGAUGCUCACUCUGGACAACUUUUUCAGGAAGUGCAACGUCGAAAUGGAGGAGGAAACAACAUAUUGAUGCUCUGAGAGAAUGGGCUGCAAUCGAAAGCGACUGUGCAGCAUACAAAGACACAAAGCAAAUACUGAAGUGUAGCAAGACUGCAAAGGCCCUGGAAUUCCUGAACUGAUCAAAACUCAGAUAAGCUGUCCCUCUCUUCAGCUCUGACCAACACCCAUCUCUAUAGGAGGAUUGAGACAUUUGUAUUUCUGUAGGUUUUCAUUCACAGAAGGAUGGAGCUCCUGUGAACAUUUAAACCCCUGGAAUAACUUCUUCUUUUUAAAAGACAAUGACUUUCAAUUAUAUGCUAUGGAUGUUUGUUUAAUGAAUUUUCAUGCUAAAAUCCCUUGUCAGCUUUAGGAGACCCUCAGCCGGAGACGUCUCUGCAUUCCACAGCUCAGAUAACAAGUCGUAAAACUUUAUGGCAGAAGGCUGGAACAGAGAGAGACACACUCUUUAACUGAAGAGACUAAUUACUUCAAAGUUCAUAUUUCUAAAAUUUAUUUUGCUCUUUCCUGAUUACCAAAGUUAUAGUGAGAUUAUGUUGUACAUCAUAUCCGAAUUUGAUAGUUAUAUCUGUUACAGAAGUCGAUUUAUUAAUUUGUGAUGUUUAAUCAUUUCUUCCCCAGGAUACUAUGAUUUUGGACUGAAUUCCCUUAUUAAUCUCUGAAUUUCCUCUCCAUUUAGGUUGAAUGAUGGCCAUUGUAUUUACCUGUUACCAAAUCUCUGACUUGUUGUUAUAUUUUCACUGUGAUGCAUAUUUUUAAUGUCAUAAACAUAAACAUAUAGUUAUGAAUGAAAUGAUUCACAUCAUAUGAACAUAUGUAUUAAUCUACACAUUUAGGAACAUGCCUGUCUCUUUCACACAACUGAAAUAUGGUGGAGAGAUAGACAGAUCGCGUUUUAAUCAUUUAAUAUCCCAAUGUUUUAAUUCCCUCUGGAGUAGUUUUCCAUCUCUCCUCUUUGAGACAAAGGAAGGGGUCAUGUUACCACCCAGAGAUUCACGCCGAAGCUUCCCUCCGCCUUGGGGUCCUCCCAUGGUCCCUUUGGCCUGAUAUAAGCCUAAGCAGCCCCCACCUUCGCUCUCUUGCUAUCUUAGCCUUCUUGUCUCUUACCGACCUACUCUCUUACCCCUCUCUUACUCUUCUUCACUACCUGAGGAAUCUAUAACAGAGAUUCCCACUAUUUUCUUACCUAAAGCGCGUUUUUCCUAUCUUUGAAAUUCCCUCACCAUCUAAGUUUGUUAACUAUUUAUCUCUUAAUAUUUUUGUAACUUAAGGAGACAUUUUGCUCGUUAUUCGUUUUAAUCUGAAGAACCGAUUCAGAACCAGCAUUUAUUUUUCUUAAUUUUGACAAUUUUUCAUCAACACCCGUUUUUCUUGGCUAAAGCCUGAGAACCAUCAUUUUUAAACCAAGCAACACUCAGCUGAGAACUCCGGAGGCCUGCUGGAUCAGGUCUUUGCAUAGAACCGAUCAACCCGCGGCAGGACAUCCAGGCGGCCAUAACGACGACGCACCGCUCCGAACCUGCAAGUCCAGACGGUUGUGCUGCGAAUCUGAAGGCCCCGCAAGUCCCAGCCCCAUGACGGUUCACUUCAAUAACUCCAGCUGAGUUUGCUCUGAUUCCAUUCUAUGGGUGAUGUACUAACCGCUGGGUCAAUUAAUUCAUUUAAUCAAUUUAUUCUUUUACAAAUCAUGAGAAUUCUUAAUCCAAAUUACCGGUUACCUCGUCAGGUUAGCUCUGGCUAAUCCUCACCAUAUUUCCUUCUCUCUCACACAUACUUCCACAUCUCUCACACACGCACACACCACACACACACCCCCACAUUCCACACAUGCACGCACACACACACACACACACACACACACACACACACACACACACACACACACACACACACACACACA